RNAcentral lists this ribosomal RNA (634 nucleotides) under Aphodius peruanus. RNAcentral's name for it is "eukaryotic LSU rRNA". It matches the Rfam family "Eukaryotic large subunit ribosomal RNA", at positions 670 to 1255 of the family's 3401-position model. Lineage: Eukaryota; Metazoa; Arthropoda; Insecta; Coleoptera; Scarabaeidae. The record is from RNAcentral.
GGAGUCUAGCAUGUGCGCGAGUCAUUGGGACUCAACUAAACCUAAAGGCGCAAUGAAAGUGAAGGUCCGCCUCGCGCGGACCUAGGGAGGAUGGGCCUCGGUCUUCGGACUGGCCCCGCACUCCCGGGGCGUCUCGCUCUCAUCGCGAGAAGAGGCGCACCCAGAGCGUACACGCUGGGACCCGAAAGAUGGUGAACUAUGCCUGGUCAGGACGAAGUCAGGGGAAACCCUGAUGGAGGUCCGUAGCGAUUCUGACGUGCAAAUCGAUCGUCGGAACUGGGUAUAGGGGCGAAAGACUAAUCGAACCAUCUAGUAGCUGGUUCCCUCCGAAGUUUCCCUCAGGAUAGCUGGCGCUCGCUGCGUGCGAGUCUCAUCCGGUAAAGCGAAUGAUUAGAGGCAUUGGGGUCGAAACGGCCUCAACCUAUUCUCAAACUUUAAAUGGGUGAGAUCUCCGGCUUGCUUAAACACUACGGUGAAGCCGCGAGAUAUCGGAUCAGAGUGCCAAGUGGGCCACUUUUGGUAAGCAGAACUGGCGCUGUGGGAUGAACCAAACGCCGAGUUAAAGCGCCUAAAUCGACGCUUAUGGGAUACCAUGAAAGGCGUUGGUAACUUAAGACAGCAGGACGGUGGCCAU